GGCAAGAUGGCCGAGUGGUCUAAGGCGCUAGAUUUAGGUCAUUCUUUGAUCAGACUCUAGUCUUCGGGCGUGGGUUCGAAUCCCACUCUUGUCA
Paramarasmius palmivorus is the source of this 94-nucleotide non-coding RNA. The record is from the annotation of a GenBank genome assembly. NCBI's taxonomy places the organism in Eukaryota, Fungi, Basidiomycota, Agaricomycetes, Agaricales, Marasmiaceae.